UACAGAGGGGGCAAGCGUUGUUCGGAAUUACUGGGCGUAAAGGGCGCGUAGGCGGCCCUCUAAGUCAGACGUGAAAUCCCUCGGCUCAACCGGGGAACUGCGUCUGAGACUGGGGGGCUUGAAUCCGGGAGAGGGAUGUGGAACUCCAGGUGUAGCGGUGAAAUGCGUAGAUAUCUGGAGGAACACCGGUGGCGAAGGCGGCAUCCUGGACCGGUAUUGACGCUGAGGCGCGAAAGCCAGGGGAGCAAACGGG
Molecule: ribosomal RNA, 253 nt
Filed under: uncultured bacterium
Lineage: Bacteria
Description: partial 16S ribosomal RNA
Rfam family: Bacterial small subunit ribosomal RNA
Source: RNAcentral